Molecule: ribosomal RNA, 293 nt
Filed under: uncultured bacterium
Lineage: Bacteria
Description: partial 16S ribosomal RNA
Rfam family: Archaeal small subunit ribosomal RNA
Source: RNAcentral
GUGCCAGCCGCCGCGGUAAUACCGGCAGCCCGAGUGAUGGCCGAUCUUAUUGGGCCUAAAGCGUCCGUAGCUGGCUGCGCAAGUCCGUCGGGAAAUCCACUCGCUCAACGAGUGGGCGUCCGACGGAAACUGCAUAGCUUGGGACCGGAAGGCUCGAAGGGUACGGCCGGGGUAGGAGUGAAAUCCUGUAAUCCCGUCCGGACCACCGAUGGCGAAAGCACUUCGAGAAAACGGAUCCGACAGUGAGGGACGAAAGCCAGGGUCUCCAACCGGAUUAGAAACCCGAGUAGUCC